GUAGGUGGCAAGCGUUGUCCGGAAUUAUUGGGCGUAAAGCGCGCGCAGGCGGUUCUUUAAGUCUGAUGUGAAAGCCCACGGCUCAACUGUGGAGGGUCAUUGGAAACUGGAGAACUUGAGUACAGAAGAGGAAAGCGGAAUUCCACGUGUAGCGGUGAAAUGCGUAGAGAUGUGGAGGAACACCAGUGGCGAAGGCGGCUUUCUGGUCUGUAACUGACGCUGAGGCGCGAAAGCGUGGGGAGCGAAACAGGGAUUAGAUACCCUGGUAGUCCACGCCGUAAACGAUGAGUGCUAAGUGUUAGGGGGGUUUCCGCCCCCGUUAGUGCUGCAGCUAACGCAUUAAGCACUCCGCCUGGGGAGUACGGCCGCAAGGCUG
RNAcentral lists this ribosomal RNA (376 nucleotides) under uncultured organism. RNAcentral describes it as "partial 16S ribosomal RNA". It matches the Rfam family "Bacterial small subunit ribosomal RNA", at positions 527 to 896 of the family's 1533-position model. The record is from RNAcentral.